Molecule: ribosomal RNA, 726 nt
Filed under: uncultured bacterium
Lineage: Bacteria
Description: bacterial SSU rRNA
Rfam family: Bacterial small subunit ribosomal RNA
Source: RNAcentral
GGGAUAACACUUGGAAACAGGUGCUAAUACCGUAUAACACUAUUUUCCGCAUGGAAGAAAGUUGAAAGGCGCUUUUGCGUCACUGAUGGAUGGACCGCGGUGCAUUAGCUAGUUGGUGAGGUAACGGCUCACCAAGGCCACGAUGCAUAGCCGACCUGAGAGGGUGAUCGGCCACACUGGGACUGAGACACGGCCCAGACUCCUACGGGAGGCAGCAGUAGGGAAUCUUCGGCAAUGGACGAAAGUCUGACCGAGCAACGCCGCGUGAGUGAAGAAGGUUUUCGGAUCGUAAAACUCUGUUGUUAGAGAAGAACAAGGAUGAGAGUAAAAUGUUCAUCCCUUGACGGUAUCUAACCAGAAAGCCACGGCUAACUACGUGCCAGCAGCCGCGGUAGUACGUAGGUGGCAAGCGUUGUCCGGAUUUAUUGGGCGUAAAGCGAGCGCAGGCGGUUUCUUAAGUCUGAUGUGAAAGCCCCCGGCUCAACCGGGGAGGGUCAUUGGAAACUGGGAGACUUGAGUGCAGAAGAGGAGAGUGGAAUUCCAUGUGUAGCGGUGAAAUGCGUAGAUAUAUGGAGGAACACCAGUGGCGAAGGCGGCUCUCUGGUCUGUAACUGACGCUGAGGCUCGAAAGCGUGGGGAGCGAACAGGAUUAGAUACCCUGGUAGUCCACGCCGUAAACGAUGAGUGAUAGGUGUUGGAGGGUUUCCGCCCUUCAGUGCUGCAGCA